GGCGGCUGCCUGGGCGAGAUCAACAAGUCGGGGCUGAGCUUCGGCUCCGCGCUCGCUGCUAUUCUGUCCCGCACUUCGGAGCGCCCGGAGCCGGGCACCAAGGCAGGACGGCGCCACCUGCACAGCUGGCCUCGCGAUCCCGCCUUCCUUCGUCCCGUCAACAACGUGUGUUGAACGCCUCCUGUGCGCGAGCCGCGGUGCAGGGCACGGUGACAGGCGUCUGAGAUACAGCUGUGAAUCAAACACAAACAUCCGGCCCUCGUGGAGCUGGUUGGAAACAGAUCAUAAACAAAAAAGCGAAAGGAUAUAUGAGGCGGUGACAAGCGCUGGGGGAAAUAAUGAAACAGGAGGAAGGGUCAGAGGGUGGGAGGGGGCAGAUCGGAACUGUAAAUAGCCCUUGCUUUCAUGAGCUUCCAUUCUAGAUUUUAGCGGGGGGUCGGGGGUGGGGGACGGAGGCGGACAAUGAAUACAUCAGUACAUAUGCAAUGUGGCAGGUGGUGAUAACCGCUAAGAAGAAAAAUAAAGCGAGGUAUGGGGAAGAGAGGGUGAAGAGUGAGCUGGUUUAUAUAGUCUGGUGAUUCAUUCAUUCAUUCAUUCAUUCAUUUAUUCAUGUUAAGUUGGACAUCUGGUUAUUGACAGCUUCCUAUGUGCAAGCAGAAUGCCAGGCUCCGUGAAGGGAAAGUCUUCCCCCUGGAGCUCCCCAUCCAGUGGGGGAGGCAAAACCCAUCACAUAAUCCCAGAAAUGAAAACUGGAGGAGGUACCUGGAGAGGCAGGCAAGGGUUCUCUAAGGAUGCCACAGAUGGGCCUUGUGUUUACUCAUUUAUUCUUUCAAAUAUUCAUUUACUGCAUGAUAAGUAAAUAGGUGUCAGCGGCCGGGCACAGUGGCUCAUGCCUGUAAUCUCAGCACUUUGGGAGACUGAGGCGGGAGGAUGGCUUGAGCCCAGGAGUUGGAGACCAGCCUGGGCAACAUAGUGAGACCCAUCUCUGCCAAAAAAUAAAAAAUUAGCUGGGCAUGGUGCUGCUUACCUGUGGUCUCAGCUACUCAGGAGGCUGAGGCAGGAGGAUCACUUGAGCCCAGGAGGUCAAAGCCACUAUAAGCUGUGAUUGCACCUCUGCAUUUCAGCCUGGAUAACAAAGUGAGACCCUGUUGCAAAAAAAAAAAAAGAAAAAAAAAAGUGCCGGGGAUGGGUACAGCAGUGAGCUCCCCUGCCCUGGAGGACAAAAACUGAACAAGAUACAGUGUUCCAACACAGGUUCCUCUCUGGCCCUUUUCUUCCUUUCUAAAAUUAAGGGGUUCAUUUCCAUAAUUUCCAUAGAGUUGCACAUAAUAUUAUUAUAUAUUUUUUACUUGUCCACUUAUCAUCUCCACCAUCAUGACCCUUGUCCAAGGUACCAUCGUCUUGUCUCCCUGCAACCUCCCUGCAACUUGGCUCCCAUCUUGGCCUCAUCCCUGGCUCCCAUGCCUGGCUCCCAUCUUGGCCUCCUACAGUUCAUUCUCCCCAUGGCCACCAAAACAACUGCUACAUUUCAUGGACCAUGAAAUGUUGGACCAUGUUUCUCAUCUGCUUAAAACCUUCCCAAGACUUUCCCUUGCUUUAGACUAAAACCUAAACUUCUGGCCUAUUGCCCUAAUUCAGCCCGCCCCCCUUUCUGAGCUUGUAGACCAGUGGAGGAAGACAGGUAACUAAAAAAGUAAAUUUUUAAAGAGAGAGUUUCAGGCUACAGUGAUUGUUAUAAAGGAAAUGGAACAUCAUGAUGGGGUGGAAAAAGAGAGACCAAGCUGCUAGUGUUACACAGGGUGGUCAGGAAGGGUGUCUCAGAGGAGAUUAAUAGAGAUUGAAAGAUAAGAAGGGACUAGCCAUGGGGAGAAUGAGGGAAAUGCAUUCCAGGUGGAGGAAACAGCAAGUGCAAAUGACCUGGGGUGUGAGAGACAGUGAACAAUCACAUUCCCUCCUGCUUCAGUCUGGUGUUCCUAGGGUCAGAAAGGGUUCUCAGCUGGCCCCUCUGUAAGCCUAAUCUGUUGAAGGCAACUUUUCUCCAGAGAUCUGGGCAUUCCCACAGGAGGUUUCAGAAAGCAAUAAAUCCUUCCUGAUGAGAGGGAAAAAAUGACUCUAUAAUGGUGAAAUUUCCAGGCAUUACUGCAGGCAUUACGGUGCCUUCCAGGUACAGCUAAAAUAACACCUAGAAGUGCGGUUCUUCUCUACUCCAUAUAACCAAGGAGUGGAGAUGCAUGUUUGUUGGGCACCUACUACAAGUAGUCCUCUGAAGGUAUAACAUCCAUCAGCUUCCACAUCUGUAAAUAAGAGAUGAGGUUAUUUAUAGAUGUGGAAGCUAAAGCUCCGAGAGAAGGUGUCUUGCCCAAUAUCUUGCUGGCAAGUGCUGGCACAACCAGAUAUGGGAAUCUCUUGUUUGACUCCAAAAUCAACGGGCUAUCCAAAUACCAGAGCAGCCUCUCUGCAAAGUCCUUUCUCCAUCAGUUCAUUUAUUGAUUAAUGGAAUCAUUCCAGAUGUUUACUGAGCAUCUACUGUGUGCCUCAGCAUGGGUGUUGGUGCUGGGAAUUGAGGGUGAGUAAUUUAUAUGGUCCCUGUCCUCGUGGAGCCACACACCUCUCUUGCCAAGGCCAGGAACAGACAGAAAACCUUGUUACUUGUUUUUCUUCUGUAUUGUUUUUUUCAUUUUUAAAUUCCCUUUUAUCUGCAUUCCCCUCCCACUAGCCCAUAGGAAAUGGUUGUCAUGUGUCAACCGUAUAUUGUUUUGUUUGGGUUUGUUUUUGCUUUUGCUUUUAGAGAUCGGGACUCACUCUGUCAUCCAGGUUGGAGUGCAGUGGCAUGAUCAUGGCUCAUUGCAACCUAAAACUCCUGGGCUCAAGUGAACCUUCUGCCUCGGCCUCCCAAAAUGUUGGGAUUACAGGUGUGAGCCACUGCGCCCGGCCUGUAUAUUGCUUUGUUUGUAUGAGUUCUUGAAAACUGUGUUUGGUGUUUUGUGUGCACUUUAAAACUUGCAUAUAUGGUUUGUGUUAUACAUCACAUUCUAUUUAUUUUUCUCUAAGAUCCAUCCACGUUGCUGUGGGUACACCCAGCCUGCUGCUUGUAAUAGCUGCACAGUUGUUCACGAUGACACAAGUCCCCUUUCCACUGUCCACCCGCUAUGUGGUCACCCAGAAGACCUCCAACUCCCACCACCACAAUGAAUGCAUCCACGAGCAUCCUCCCAUGUGUCUGCUUAUGAGCCAGUGUGAUGAUUUUUUAAAAAAACAUUUCCUGCAGGUUCAGAAUUGACACAUCACAGAGUAUGUUGCACUUAAUUUAACUAAGCACACCCAAGUCUCCCUACAGAUGUCUGUUCCAGGCUGCAUCUCACCAGCAGUGCUUGAGAGUUCCUACAGCUCCACAUCCCAGCCAGCAUUUGGUAUUAUCCAGAUAUGUAGGUUUUGACAGUCUAACACGUACAAGGUAACAUCUCAGUAUAUUUAAAUUUGCAUUUCUCUGAUUACUAAUGAGUCUGAGACUCUCUUCAUAUGCUUAUUGUUCUCUUGUAUAAAUAUCACCUGUGCACAUAGUGGCCCAUUUUUCUAUCAGGAUUCCUGUUUUUUUCUUGAUGAUUUGCAGGAUUCCUUUGUAUAAUGCAGAUUUUAAGUCCCUUGUGGAUUUUAGACAUUGCAAAUAUCUUCUUCUGCUUUGUCACCUACCUGUUAACUUUGCCUAUGGUGUCCUUUAUUAAGCAGAAAUCUUUUUAAAGUGAUCAAGAUAAUCUAUUUUUGGCUGUAUAGUUUGUGCUUUUAAAGUUUUUGUUUGAGUCCUCCCCUGCCCCUAAGUUGCAAACAGUUUUGUUUAUUAAUUUUAUAUUUUUAUUUUUUACUUUAGGUCUUUAACCAAUUGUGUGUGUGUGUGUGUGUGUGUGUGUGUGUGUGUGUGUGUGUGAUUUGGUAGGGAGCCAACUUCAUUCAUUCCCUAUAGCUGGCUAGUUUUCUGAAAACUACCUAUGAAAUAACUUGUCCUUUCCCCAGCUGAUCUGUGGGCCACCUUUGUCAUAUGAAGCCUCUUGCACUCCCCACUCUGCUCCAUUGGGCUUCUUGUGCUUAUGUCACUGUGGUCCUGUUUUUAUUAGCAUGGCUUUAUAGUGAGCUUUAGUGCCUGUAGCCCUUGUCUCUCUUCUUUGUUCUUUUUUAGGGCACACUUGGCUAUUUGUGGACCUUUAAUCCUCUCUACAAACUUUUUAGUAAGUUUGUUAUGGGACAGUUUCUCUUCCCUUGCACUCAUUUCCUAAUCCUGAUCACCAGUUUGCCACCAAAGCCUACCCACAGCUCCUCUACCCAGUGAAACCCCUGAGGAAUGUUGCCAUGGUUAAUACUAAGUGUCAACUUGAUUGGACUGAAGGAUGCAAAGUAUUGCUCCUGGGUGUGACUGUGAGGGUGUUGCCAAAGGAGAUUAACAAUUGAGUCAGUGGACUGGGAGAAGCAGACCCACCCUCAGUGUGGGUGGGCACCAUCCAAUCAACCACCAGUGUGGCUGAAAUAGAGCAGGCAGAAGAAGGUGGGAGAAGCUGACUUGCUGAGUCUUCUGGCCUCCAUCUUUCUUCCAUGCUAGAUGCUUCCUGCCCUGGAACAUCGGACUCCAAGUUCUUUGGCUUUUGGACUCUUGGGCUUACACCAGUGGCUCUCAGGUGUUUGCCCACAGACUGAAGCCUGCACUGUAAGCUACUCUACGUUUGAGGUUUUGGGACUUGGACUGAGCCACUACUGGCUUCCUUCCUCUUCAAUUUGCAGACAGCCUGUUGUGGGACUUCACCUUGUGAUUGCCCUGAUUGUCUUUAUUAAGCCCUGGGUUUCCUGGCCCAAGUUCCUGAGGAGCCUGGGAACUCCAAGACGCAAUGGAAAGGAGGCGAGUCAGCAAAAGGAGGAAAUCAAAGCCACAGAGAUCAAGAGCUAAUUAACUGAUCCUCCUAAGAUAAUGUUUCAUUAAAAUCCAGUUCUUCUGCCCUGUGGGGACUGAUAUCUCUCCUACUGCCUCUCCAUUGCCCUUUUCCACCCAUUCCUGAUCUCAUCUGCCUCCGCUCUGAUCUUUCCCCAAGUCUUCUCCCUCCUCCAAUCCAACCUCCCCCCAGCUACUAGGGUAGACUUUUAAAGGCACAAGUCUGACCAUGUCACUCCCUAUUUAUAAGUCUUCACCACUCAUUGCCUGAGACAAAGGGCAAACUCCCAAGAUAAGGCAAAGGCCGUUCAUUCAUUUAACACAGAUUUCCUCAGUGCCUCUCCUCUCUCACAAGCUUGGGGAUGGUAGGACACAGAAACAAGUUUCUGACCCUUGCCCUGUUUCUCCAGCUUCUUUACCCACCACUCCUUUCCACAUUCCUGCAUUUCAGCAAAAACUUUCCAACCUCCGGCUUAGUGAUAGCCAGUCCCUAGGGAAACUGUUGUUAGUAUCCAUGCUUUGCUCAGCUCACUUCCACAUUGACUCUGGGCUUGGCCUUGUGACUUGCAUUUACCAGUGGAAUGUGGUGGCAGUAAUGCCAGUUCCAGGCCUAAGCCUUGAAAGGGUCGGGAAGCUUCUGCUUUUGUGCUCUUGGGAGCUCUGAACCACUGUGUAGGCAGCCAGGCUACCCUGCUGGAAGGGACCAUGUGGAAAAACCACAUGGAAAGUGAGAAGCCCUGCAAUUACAUGGAAAGAGACCAGAGGCUCAGCCCUCCCAAUGUUACAGCUGAAUGCAGCCUUCCAGCCAUACCUACCAAGGCACCAGGCAUAUGAAUGAAGUCGUCGUGGACGUCCCAGCCUCACCUAACAUCUGACUGCAGCUGCAUGAGAGACCCCCAAGUGAGAGCAGCAGCAGAACCAUCCAACUAUAAGCCCCAUUCUCUUUCUAUUAGUUCUUAUGAGAGCUAUUCAUUCUCAUGAGCUUUUUAGAAAGUGCCAACCUGGCUGGGCACUGUGGUUCACGCCUGUAAUCCCAGCACUUUGGGAGGCUAAGAUUGGUGGAUCACCUGAGGUCAGGAGUUUGAGACCAGCCUGACCAACAUGGUGAAACCCCGUCUCUACUAAAAAAAUUACAAAAAUUAGCCAAGCGUGUUGGCAGGCACCUGUAAUUCCAGCUACUCAGGAGGCUGAGGCAGGAGAAUUGCUUGAACCCAGGAGGUGGAGGUUGCAGUGAGCCAAGAUCAUGCUGCUAGACUCCAGCCUGGGCAACAGAGUGAGAUUCCAUCUCAAAACACAAACCAAAAGCGCCAAUCCACAAAGACAUGAGAAAUAAUAAAAUAGUUUUGUGUUAAGUCACUACAUCUUGGAGUUGUUUGUUACACAGCACGAGAUAUCUGAUACAGAGGCCUUGCUCCUGCUAUUUCCACAGCUUAGAAUGUUUCUCCAACCCCAGCCAUCUUCUUUACCCCACAUGGUGAACUCCUAUUCACCUUUCAGAGCCCAUAUUCAGCAUCACCUUCCCUGCCUCCCAUAGUCUGAGUUAAUGUCUCUUUCCUCUGGGAAACUGUAUGAGACUAACCUACAAUACUUAUUUUUCUGUUUCUUCCGCUGGCUAUGAAUGACAAUAUUUACUCAUGUAAUGCUCACAAGAACCCU
This 6568-nucleotide long non-coding RNA is filed under the name Homo sapiens (human). RNAcentral's name for it is "HSALNT0268385". The record is from RNAcentral. Lineage: Eukaryota; Metazoa; Chordata; Mammalia; Primates; Hominidae.